Molecule: ribosomal RNA, 515 nt
Filed under: uncultured haloarchaeon
Lineage: Archaea; Methanobacteriati; Methanobacteriota; Halobacteria; Halobacteriales; Halobacteriaceae
Description: bacterial SSU rRNA
Rfam family: Archaeal small subunit ribosomal RNA
Source: RNAcentral
AACCUUUACACUGCCCUUUAGUGCGAUAGGGGGACACCGAGUGCGAGGGCAUAGAGCCCUCGCUUUUCUGAACCUUAAGGUGGUUCAGGAACAAGGGCUGGGCAAGACCGGUGCCAGCCGCCGCGGUAACACCGGCAGCCCAAGUGAUGGCCGAUUUUAUUGGGCCUAAAGCGUCCGUAGCUGGCCGCGCAAGUUCGUCGGGAAAUCCACGCGCUUAACGUGUGGGCGCCCGGCGAAAACUGUGCGGCUUGGGACCGGAAGAUCUGAGGGGUACGUCUGGGGUAGGAGUGAAAUCCCGUAAUCCUGGACGGACCACCGAUGGCGAAAGCUUCUCAGAAGGACGGAUCCGACAGUGAGGGACGAAAGCUAGGGUCUCGAACCGGAUUAGAUACCCGGGUAGUCCUAGCCGUAAACGAUGCUCGCUAGGUGUGGCACAGGCUACGAGCCUGUGCUGUGCCGUAGGGAAGCCGUGAAGCGAGCCGCCUGGGAAGUACGUCUGCAAGGAUGAAACUUAA